GCUCCAAUGGCGCAAUGGUAGCGCGCAAGACUUCUACUAAUGACUCUAGUCUAGUCAACGUAAAUCAAUCUUGAGGUUGAGGGUUCGAGCCCCUCUUGGAGUG
This is a transfer RNA of Pseudogymnoascus sp. WSF 3629, 103 nucleotides long. It matches the Rfam family "tRNA". Rfam says of the family: Transfer RNA (tRNA) molecules are approximately 80 nucleotides in length. Lineage: Eukaryota; Fungi; Ascomycota; Leotiomycetes; Thelebolales; Thelebolaceae. The record is from Rfam.